RNAcentral lists this long non-coding RNA (835 nucleotides) under Bos taurus (domestic cattle). Its description in RNAcentral is "long non-coding RNA NONBTAT022326". The record is from RNAcentral. Lineage: Eukaryota; Metazoa; Chordata; Mammalia; Artiodactyla; Bovidae.
UUCUUCCAUAAAGCUGAUACUUUUUUUCCCAACUGGAUAAGUUUUUCAAUAUCUGUAUUUUCACUUUAUCAAUUAAGGUUUUAUUUUUUAUUACUGUCACAAUAGUAAUUUAGUUCUAUCACUUGCUCCCAAUUUGUAAUUUACUUAAGUAUACACUCAAAAAUGGUUUAUAAAAUUUUAUAAAAACAUAUCUUCUGAUAAUACAGAAGGAUGACAAAUGCUAAAUGACCACUGCCAACUCCAUAUUUUAACAGUGAAAAGCAUUAAAUUUCUACUGAUCAAUAUAGCCAAGGCCAUUCUCACAUCAAAUGAGAAUAAUGGUCUUUUUUUCCUCCCAUGAAACCACUUUUCUAGAACCUUAAAUGGCAAGCAAGUUAGAAAGUUAAAUGGCGGGUUUCUUUUUGAAAUGGGGUAAAUAAAACAUAUAUCCAAAUUCAGAACAUUCUUAAUCUCUUAAAACAACUGUUUUUGCAGGAGUUCUUGACAAUGUUAUGAAAAGGCAGCAAGAAGUCUCAGAUAAGGAAUCAUGCUAGAUAAUUAUUAUUUCAGCAAAUUAUGAUGACAUUCAAAACACAGACUACCGAAAGGCAAAGCAGGCUUUUAGAUUAGUAAGUGGAAAGAUGAAACAAGAUGCUUAUCACAAUACAGACACUAGUAGACAGCUGAGGUUGAUCAUAGUAACGUGCACUUUGUCACGAGUUACAAGUGGGAUAAAUACUGAUCCCAAAGCAUGCAGUAUCAACUGUACAACAUCCAGCUUUGUGCAGGGGGUCCUCUGUAAGCCCUACAAGCCCAAAUUAUAGCCACAACUGCUAUGGGAUUCUACUGAACUUGU